This 568-nucleotide ribosomal RNA is filed under the name uncultured bacterium. Its description in RNAcentral is "partial 16S ribosomal RNA". It matches the Rfam family "Bacterial small subunit ribosomal RNA", at positions 355 to 914 of the family's 1533-position model. The record is from RNAcentral.
UGGGGAAUUUUGGACAAUGGGCGAAAGCCUGAUCCAGCAAUGCCGCGUGUGUGAAGAAGGCCUUCGGGUUGUAAAGCACUUUUGUCCGGAAAGAAAUCCUUGGCUCUAAUACAGUCGGGGGAUGACGGUACCGGAAGAAUAAGCACCGGCUAACUACGUGCCAGCAGCCGCGGUAAUACGUAGGGUGCAAGCGUUAAUCGGAAUUACUGGGCGUAAAGCGUGCGCAGGCGGUUUGCUAAGACCGAUGUGAAAUCCCCGGGCUCAACCUGGGAACUGCAUUGGUGACUGGCAGGCUAGAGUAUGGCAGAGGGGGGUAGAAUUCCACGUGUAGCAGUGAAAUGCGUAGAGAUGUGGAGGAAUACCGAUGGCGAAGGCAGCCCCCUGGGCCAAUACUGACGCUCAUGCACGAAAGCGUGGGGGAGCAAACAGGAUUAGAUACCCCUGGUAGUCCACGCCCUAAACGAUGUCAACUAGUUGUUGGGGAUUCAUUUCCUUAGUAACGUAGCUAACGCGUGAAGUUGACCACCUGGGGAGUACGGUCGCAAGAUUAAAACUCAAAUGAAUUGAC